UGCCACAGGCAUAUCACCCUGCAGCCCAAGACCGGUUGCCCACUGAAGCUAAGCAGGGUUGAGCCUGGUCAGUACCUGGAUGGGAGACCUCCUGGGAAAACUAGGUUGCUGUUGGAA
This 117-nucleotide ribosomal RNA is filed under the name Sinocyclocheilus rhinocerous. Lineage: Eukaryota; Metazoa; Chordata; Actinopteri; Cypriniformes; Cyprinidae. The record is from RNAcentral.